Molecule: ribosomal RNA, 485 nt
Filed under: Hartigia trimaculata
Lineage: Eukaryota; Metazoa; Arthropoda; Insecta; Hymenoptera; Cephidae
Description: partial 16S rRNA
Source: RNAcentral
CUGCCCACUGAAGUUUUGAAAUGGACGCGGUAUUUUGACCGUGCAAAGGUAGCAUAAUCAUUAGUUUUUUAAUUGAAAGCUUGUAUGAACGAUUGAAUAAGAUACUAAUUGUCUCAUGAUUAUUUAAUAUAAAAUUUAAUUUUUGAGUUAAAAAGCUUAAAUAUUAUUAGAGGACGAGAAGACCCUAUAGAUUUUUAUAAAAUAAUUAUUUUAAUAUAUUAAUUUUAUUUUUUUUUUUAAUACUUAUUUUUAUUUUGUUGGGGUGACAUUAAAAUUUAAUUAACUUUUAAUUUAAAUUAAACAUUAAUUUAUGAAUUUUUAAUAAUUUGUUUUUAUUAUUAAUUAUUGACCCUGAAUUUUAGGUUAUUAGAUUAAAAUACCUUAGGGAUAACAGCGUAAUUUAUUUGGAGAGAUCAUAUUAAUAAAUAAGUUUGCGACCUCGAUGUUGAAUUAAGAAUAUAUUUAGGUGUAGGUGCUUAAAUUCA